UGCAAUCUGGAACCCCUGGGCUCAAGCGAUCCUCCUGCCUCAGCCCCCCAAGCAGCUGGGACUACAGGCGCGAGUCACCGUGCCGGGCUCAUACCGAUUCUUAAAAGCAGGAGAUAGUGCUUCUCGACCUUUUGGCUAAGAUCGAGUGCAAAAGCAGGAGAUAAAGUUCUCAUGUGAGGGAGGCCCUCCCUAUACUAGAAGGAAAGUAACAUCCUUAUCAUCAAGGAUGGGAAGUUGAGACCAAGAGAAUUCUGUGCAGACCUGGUUAAAAUAAUUCUUAUCUUCUUUUAGCCUCCCCACAUAAUUACUUUUUCACAACUGAUUAUGUUCAAUUCAGUAUGUAAGUGUGCAACACUAGCUGCUUUUCUGCCUUUGAUGCAUCUUAUAUCCAUUUAAUCUCAGGCCCAAGCAAAACACCCUGAGGGUGGAGAUCAAUUUCGCCUCCCCUGCGGGUGAGCUGCCAUCGGGGCACUGGGCUCUGUCACACCCGCAAGGCGUAAGGCCAGGCCCAGCAGCAAGCCGCCAUGGGAGGGAAGCCGCACCUCCAAGACCAGGUCCAGGCAGGGCCACAAGUCACCUGCACAAGCAGAUGGCUCAGACCUCGUGUCAUCUGCCCACUCCGGCCACACAAACAGCCACAAGGGCAGGGGAAAGUUUGCAUUUGGUUCACAGACGGCUCAGCCCAGCUUGUGCGUGAUGGCCAGAAAUCGACCACAGCUUCGUUCAGGGGCGGCCCUGAAAGCCAGCAGCACCAUAACCCUUCCCCGUGGAAAGAGCAGUGGUCCUCAGUUAGAACCUACGCAGGCUUGCCGGCAGCAAGAACUGGUGCCUCGAGGGCCUGGAAGAGAAAAAUUGGAAGAAUGAGACCAAGGAGGUCUGGGGAAGAGGCAUGUGGUGGGGCCUACAGUCACGGGCACAGAUGUGUGUCACAUUGGCCACAGGAAAGACACUAAAUAGCCAGUGGUCAGCGUGACUUUGCCAGCCUGCCACUGUCCACACGGGCACAUGGACAGAGCAGUCACAGUGGCGGGGUAGAGGCUCGGGCACAGGCUCCAAGGUGAUCCUGCCACUGCUGCCAUCAAAUGUCUAACCUGACAGCCACAGAGACCCACGCUGGGCCCCAAGAACUGCAACGUCCCUCGAGGACCCCACCUGCCUCUCAGUGGCUGGCUGACCAUUUUGACCCCUCCCACGCUAGAGGGAGCAGCAGUUCUCCCUGGGUGGCAUUCACCCAUGCGCUGGGCCUGGCUUUGCCUUUCCCAUCUGCAGAACGCGAUCCACCAGCACUCGAUCCCAUGCAGCGUCGUGACAGACCAAGGGAAUCACUUUACAGCAAAGGCAGGGGACCAAGUGGUCCCCGCUGCCACCACAGCCUCAGCCCCAGAGGCUGCCAGCUGGGCGGUGGCCACUGAAGGUGCAGGUGAAGCAUCAGCUGCGGAGGGCCUGGGAGCAGGGAUGCCAUUCCCCUAGAGGCGCCCUUAGUCCGUGGGCAGUGCGUGGUGCUGUGGCCCCCGAGAGGGAGGCAUAGUCUGGAAAUGGACAGGUGAGAGCCCGAGUGGCCCCAUGUACCGUCACUUCCAAGAAGCCACAUGGACAGCUUCAGUGUCCCACCCACAGCGCUGCAGUUUAGAGAUCCUGGAGUCCAGAGGAGGAAGCACCUCCACCUGUGACACCGUGAGAGUCCGUCACACCCUGAGCUGUGGCCGCUGUUCGGCUGCUCUGGGCUCCUUGUCCCGACAGACCCGCAGGAAAGAGCCCAAAAGAAUCUGGAGGAGCUGCUUCCAGAACUUAUCACAUGAAGCUAGCAAACUGAGCGGGGCACCCCGGAGGUAUCGGCCCUGAACCCCAGGACUAGAGACUCACUUUCCACCUGCCAUGGCUCAGGCUGACUCCCCUCUGGGACUCAGCCAGCGCCAUAGAGCAAGGAGCCCUCGUGGGUGUUGCCAGCCAACACUCUCGGCCCAGGUCCCAGCGGACAGCCAGCACCCACCCCCAGCUGUGUCAGUGAGCAAACUUUAGAAGAUUCCUGCCCCAGCCUUUGGCUGCCCCAGCUGAUGCCACAGGAGAGCAAAAUAAAGGCGGUGGCUGUUUCAAGCCCCCAAGCUUUGGGCUGUCUGUUAUGCAGCAGUGGGUAACUGGAGCACAAACACACAGACCCAGUCUCGGAGGACAGACUCCAACCCAGCUCUGCACAGCCUGUCGCCAAGCACAGUAUCUGGGACAGCCUAAAUCUGCCUUGCCUGUCAGGUGCUUAUUCUGCUGCUUUCGGAUGGAACAAAGUCAGUCCUGACCAGUGGCACUGAGCUCUAGACGUAUAGAUAAAUGGAAGUGCCAUCCAGGCAGGGGAAAUGAAGGAACGUGUCUCAUGAUGGCAUUUUGGCCACACCCUGGAGGGCAAGGAAGAGAAUUUCAAGAGCAAAAGGCAGCACAAGUCACAGAGACUAUGAGUUGGCCCUGUGGCCCCAGGGCCCUCUGACCAAUGCCAGCAUCCUCAGCUAAGGACUGGCAGUACUGACCCCAGAUCUCAGGCUUCCUGGGUGCCACUCUGGGCUGUAUCCCCUUUUCAUGCUGCCUGGAGGCCGCUCUCUGCUCUCCUGUCCCCAACCUGUGCUGGUGGGAGGGACUGGAUGCUGCCAUUUGUCCCCUGGAAUUGCUGUGCUCACCGUGAGUGAUUGCCACUGAACUGAGUGUUUUGCAUUCCUUCUCUCUCCAUUCUCCACCUUGACGCCUGUA
Molecule: non-coding RNA, 2733 nt
Organism: Microcebus murinus (gray mouse lemur)
Lineage: Eukaryota; Metazoa; Chordata; Mammalia; Primates; Cheirogaleidae
Source: RefSeq, a predicted model, not a curated record